CAUGCAUGUCUAAGUAUAAGCAAUUAUACCGUGAAACUGCGAAUGGCUCAUUAAAUCAGUUAUCGUUUAUUUGAUAGUACCUUACUACUUGGAUAACCGUGGUAAUUCUAGAGCUAAUACAUGCUGAAAACCCUGACUUCGGAAAGGGUGUAUUUAUUAGAUAAAAAACCAAUGCCCUUUGGGGCUCUUUGGUGAUUCAUGAUAACUUAACGGAUCGCAUGGCCUUGCGCCGGCGACGGUUCAUUCAAAUUUCUGCCCUAUCAACUUUCGAUGGUAAGGUAUUGGCUUACCAUGGUUUCAACGGGUAACGGGGAAUUAGGGUUCGAUUCCGGAGAGGGAGCCUGAGAAACGGCUACCACAUCCAAGGAAGGCAGCAGGCGCGCAAAUUACCCAAUCCCGACACGGGGAGGUAGUGACAAUAAAUACUGAUACAGGGCUCUUUUGGGUCUUGUAAUCGGAAUGAGUACAAUUUAAACCUCCUAACGAGGAACAAUUGGAGGGCAAGUCUGGUGCCAGCAGCCGCGGUAAUUCCAGCUCCAAUAGCGUAUAUUAAAGUUGUUGCAGUUAAAAAGCUCGUAGUUGAACCUUGGGCCUGGCUGGCCGGUCCGCCUCACCGCGUGUACUGGUCUGGCCGGGCCUUUCCUCCUGGAGAACCUCAUGCCCUUCAGUGGGUGUGUUGGGGAACCAGGACUUUUACUUUGAAAAAAUUAGAGUGUUCAAAGCAGGCCUUUGCUCGAAUACGUUAGCAUGGAAUAAUAGAAUAGGACGUGCGGUCCUAUUUUGUUGGUUUCUAGGACCGCCGUAAUGAUUAAUAGGGAUAGUCGGGGGCAUCAGUAUUCAAUUGUCAGAGGUGAAAUUCUUGGAUUUAUUGAAGACUAACUACUGCGAAAGCAUUUGCCAAGGAUGUUUUCAUUAAUCAGUGAACGAAAGUUAGGGGAUCGAAGACGAUCAGAUACCGUCGUAGUCUUAACCGUAAACUAUGCCGACUAGGGAUCGGGCGAUGUUUCUAUCUUGACUCGCUCGGCACCUUACGAGAAAUCAAAGUUUUUGGGUUCUGGGGGGAG
This 1064-nucleotide ribosomal RNA is filed under the name Massarina australiensis. Its description in RNAcentral is "SSU rRNA". It matches the Rfam family "Eukaryotic small subunit ribosomal RNA", at positions 50 to 1123 of the family's 1831-position model. The record is from RNAcentral. Lineage: Eukaryota; Fungi; Ascomycota; Dothideomycetes; Pleosporales; Massarinaceae.